CUCAAAAUCUUUCUCCGUGAAGGGAACAUCCUCAAUUAACACAGCGGAAUGGACGUUGAAAAAUAUUCCCAGCAUUAUCUGAAAAAUGGGAAUGGCUAGGUUGUUGAACUCAGGCACCUGACCUCUCGGUCACGCUCUAAACCCCUCCCAUUUCUAAUGUUGCCACAACACCUGGGGCUGGGAUUAACCAGAACAAGGUAGGAUUAGGGGUGGUUGUUACUGGAUUCGGACUCGGCCACCUGGAAAAGGGAUUGAGGUGGUGACACUGAGAAUGGCUCUGGCAAUGGCAGGAAUAGUGAGCAACCUGUCUUUCCCAGGAACCCAAGUUAUCCCCUCCCCAGAGGCGUCAUUAUCACGGGACAGUGCGGAAGAGCGGCCAGCAGAUCAACCAGCUCCAGCUUGCCUGCUGCCUUCUAAGGCCCGGAAUUUCCUAGCCUUCCAACCCUCCAACCCCGGAGCCCCUCAGGCCCGCUCCGAUUCUCGCCGGGGGAGGACCCCUCACCAACAUGAUCACUCCCCAGGCGCUGAGCACUAUGCCGCAGGCGGCCAGCUUCGGCCCACAGCACAGGAGCGACGCCAUGUAGAAGGGAGUCCGGGGGUCCUCUAGGGGUGAGCCGGGUGGAAAGGCGGUGAGAGGAAGCCCUGGAUGCGCCUGGAGGGCUGCGGAGAGGGAGUGGCCUCCGGCCCCUACCAUCAUGCUGGGGGUGGGAAGGGGCGGCUACGGGGAACUCCAGGCACCUCGGAGUCCUCUCGGGACUUCUGGGGCAGAAGGCGGCGUCUGGAACUCAAGCCGAUGUUCGAAAGCCCUUAACUGCCCCUUGUAUCUGGGCGUGAGUAUUGGAAGAGGGCCUCGAGUUUCUUCCUCUUCCCCCGACUCCAGGUUGAAAUGGAAGGAGCUGGUAUAUCACGUGACCAAGUUUGGCAAGUCACGUGACGAGGAACUCGCUGUCACCGGGUCUGGGGGAAAAGUCUGUAACUCUGGCGGAGCUCCUGAUAACUUUGACGAUGGGGCUCUUAGGAUCGGAGGAUUGGAACCGUCUGAUUUCACCCUCAGAUACUUAGUCUCGGUUGGUAUCCUGUGAUGGGGAAAUGAGUCCCCUCUUACCAUGUCUGGCUGGCGGCGACCCAGGUGCCAUGUGAUGGUCAUUUGAAGACAGGCCUGCCGGAUAUCGGGUCUGCCGAGGUCCAGACACUUGCCUUCGGGAACCUGGGCUUUCAGCUGUCCAUACCUGGCCCUGGUUGAUGGCCCCAUGCUGGGCAGUGCAUAUGAAGACACACAUGCAUACUUUCUCUAAAAAGUCUGUUGGAAAAAUAAGGCAAAGGUAAGCUAUGAGAACUGAGGGAGAAUAAGGGGGAGGGGAGAAUGAGAGGCACUUAGUGGAGGUUAAAUUUAAUUUGUGUUAUGAACUGAAUAUGUGUCCCCCCCAGAUUCUUGUGCUGAAAUCUAAUCCCCAAAGUGUUGGUAUUAGAAGGUAGAGCCUCUGGGAGGUAAUUAGGUUAUGAGGGUGGAGCCUUCAUAGAUGGGAUUAGUGCCUUUAUGAGAAGAGGCCAGAGAGCCAGUCUGCUCUCUUUCUGCCAUGUGAGGAUAUAAGGAGAAGAAGUUGGCUGUCUGCAACCUGGCAGAGAGCCCUUACCAGAACCCCAACCUGCUGGCACCCUAAUCUUGGACUUCCAGCCUCCAGAACUGUGAGGAAUAAAUUUCCGUUGU
Molecule: long non-coding RNA, 1708 nt
Organism: Lemur catta (Ring-tailed lemur)
Lineage: Eukaryota; Metazoa; Chordata; Mammalia; Primates; Lemuridae
Exons: 5
Source: RefSeq, a predicted model, not a curated record